UACGGGGGGAGCAAGCGUUGUUCGGAUUUACUGGGCGUAAAGGGCGCGUAGGCGGCGUGACAAGUCACUUGUGAAAUCUCUGAGCUUAACUCAGAACGGCCAAGUGAAACUGUUGUGCUAGAGUGCAGAAGGGGCAAUCGGAAUUCUUGGUGUAGCGGUGAAAUGCGUAGAUAUCAGGAGGAACACCGGUGGCGAAGGCGCGCAUCUGGCCCGAUACUGACGCUGAGGCGCGAAAGCUAGGGGAGCGAACGGG
RNAcentral lists this ribosomal RNA (253 nucleotides) under uncultured bacterium. RNAcentral's name for it is "partial 16S ribosomal RNA". It matches the Rfam family "Bacterial small subunit ribosomal RNA", at positions 524 to 776 of the family's 1533-position model. The record is from RNAcentral.